AAACUAACAAGGAUUCCCCUAGUAGCGGCGAGCGAAGCGGGAAAAGCUCAAAUUUGUAAUCUGGCGUCUACGACGUCCGAGUUGUAAUCUCGAGAAGUGUUUUCCGUGAUAGACCGCAUACAAGUCUCUUGGAACAGAGCGUCAUAGUGGUGAGAACCCAGUACACGAUGCGGAUGCCUAUUACUUUGUGAUACACUUUCGAAGAGUCGAGUUGUUUGGGAAUGCAGCUCAAAUUGGGUGGUAAAUUCCAUCUAAAGCUAAAUAUUGGCGAGAGACCGAUAGCGAACAAGUACCGUGAGGGAAAGAUGAAAAGCACUUUGGAAAGAGAGUUAACAGUACGUGAAAUUGUUGGAAGGGAAACACAUGCAGCCAGACUUGCUAUUCGGGGCAACUCGAUUGGCAGGCCCGCAUCAGUUUUUCGGGGCGGAAAAGCAUAGAGAGAAGGUAGCAAUUUCGGUUGUGUUAUAGCUUUUUAUUGGAUUCGCCCUGGGGGACUGAGGAACGCAGCGUGCUUUUAGCAUAAGCUUCGGCUUAUCCACGCUUAGGAUGCGGGUGUAAUGGCUGUAUAUGAC
This 572-nucleotide ribosomal RNA is filed under the name Sporobolomyces roseus. RNAcentral describes it as "partial 26S ribosomal RNA". It matches the Rfam family "Eukaryotic large subunit ribosomal RNA", at positions 62 to 648 of the family's 3401-position model. Lineage: Eukaryota; Fungi; Basidiomycota; Microbotryomycetes; Sporidiobolales; Sporidiobolaceae. RNAcentral also lists the same sequence under 1 other name. The record is from RNAcentral.